Long non-coding RNA from Scophthalmus maximus (turbot), 1365 nucleotides. The record is from Ensembl. NCBI's taxonomy places the organism in Eukaryota, Metazoa, Chordata, Actinopteri, Pleuronectiformes, Scophthalmidae.
CAAUGGGCGGAUCAUGGAGCCUCUCAAUAGUUCCCGGAAGUGAGCAGCAGUGCAUUAGAGUAGCAGCAGAAUGGAUCAAGACCGUCUGUUGCACUUAUGAAGGGUAAGACGUUUAAAUAAUCAUUUAGUAUAAUAUCAGCACAUCUGAAUCGAAUCAACAUGCGCAUUAAAGCAUGUUAGUGGAUUAUAUCCAAAUAAAUCUGUAAACAAAAAUCUGUUUUUUUCAUUGACUAACUACAUAGAGUACCUACAUAGGCAUGUCGGUCUGCUUUAAUGUAAAUCGAUGCAUUUAUUGACUACUAAUUACCCAAAAAUCGCAGUUCUGUCGCUCUGAAUAAUGGAAUGUAAUUGCACGCCCAAAACGUCCGGAACUAUCUGAAGUCUACAUGAGUCACGUGACGUGCAAGCAUUUUGGACCGUUGCUACUCUCUCUCAACGGCUCUGAUUGGUCCCAGGUGAUGAAACCUGAUUGGGUAUGAAAGGAGCAUCCUCCAAAGAGAUGGCGGUCACCAUAUAUUCUUUGUCAGGGAUCCUGUAGAAUGAUGGCUCUGGUUUUUCGGUGUUCUGAUUGGUUAAAGUCGUUGGACUGUUAUCUGGCUUUGAUCUCUCGACGGAGCAGGUUACCAUGGUGAUUUUCCCCGGUGAGAAGAGAACCAUCUUCGUGGGACGGAAAACCCCCAGAGUUAAACCCGAAGUUGCCUCGAUAACCGAAAAACCGCAAAUCCAGCUCCGUGUACAGGCUCCAGGUCCAUAAAGGGGGAAAGGUCUCUCAGCAUUACCACAUUGACCAGGUCCAGAUAGAAGAUAGGUGCAAUGGAGUUUAUGAACUACAGUCAGGAGGACUCACUUGGUGAAGAGGAAGUAACCGCCUUACCUCAAGUACAGAUGCAAUCAGUUGUGGUGGUUCCUAGCCAGCACAGCACCACCAGCACCAGCACCAGCACCAGUACCAGCACCAGUACCAGCACCAGUACCAGCACCAGCACCAGUAGCAGUAAAACAGCAGUACCUCCUGCGCCAGAGCUGAAAGGUUCCCACAGUGACAAAUAUGUUCACAGUGACGAAAGAAAAAGGCUGGCGAUAUUUGACAGCGACUGGGAGUUUAGGAAACAGCGUUAUGUGCUCUUCACCACCAGAGAAAUGAACAGGCACCACGGAGCAGAACAGGAGAGACGUGACCAUCGUAAGUGGCAGCAGCCCUCCAACCUCAGACGCAGGUACUGUACUUUAUUCUCACUGGGGUUGUUUAUAGAUGUAAAGACGAGUGGUUGUCAAACUAGAGAGGUUCCAAGAAGAUUUUUCUCUCCCCAAUACCGAUUCCGAUACUCAGUACUGAUCAGAUACCAGUGCAUUAAAUUUUUUUAA